RNAcentral lists this ribosomal RNA (914 nucleotides) under uncultured archaeon. Its description in RNAcentral is "bacterial SSU rRNA". It matches the Rfam family "Archaeal small subunit ribosomal RNA", at positions 1 to 922 of the family's 1478-position model. The record is from RNAcentral.
UUCCGGUUGAUCCUGCCGGAGGCCACCGCUAUUGGAAUCCGAUUAAGACAUGUGAGUCGAGAGUCUUCGGGACUCGGCAGACGGCUCAGUAACACGCGGAUAAUCUGCCCUUGGGUGGGGAAUAAUCUCGGGAAACUGAGCAUAAUACCCCAUAGGCCUGAGAUGCUGGAACGCCCUCAGGCUAAAAGCUCCGGCGCCCAAGGAUGAGUCUGCGGCCUAUCAGCUUGUAGUUGGUGUAAAUGACCAACUAGGCGACGACGGGUACGGGCAUUGGGAGAUGUAGCCCGGAGAUGGACUCUGAGACACGAGUCCAGGCCCUACGGGGCGCAGCAGUCGCGAAAACUUCACAAUGUGGGAAACCGCGAUGAGGGGAUUCCAAGUGCUUGCGUUUUGCGUAAGCUGUUCUCCUGCCUAAAAAGCAGGGGGAGUAAGGGCUGGGUAAGACGGGUGCCAGCCGCCGCGGUAAUACCCGCAGCCCAAGUGGUGGUCGAUAUUAUUGAGCUUAAAGCGUCCGUAGCCUGUCUGGUAAAUUCUUGGGUAAAUCGUGCAGCUUAACUGUCCGAAUUCCGGGGAGACUGCCAGACUUGGGACCGGGAGAGGUUGGAGGUACUCCUGGGGUAGGGGUAAAAUCCCGUAAUCCUGGGAGGACCAUCAGUGGCGGAGGCGUCCAACUGGAACGGAUCCGACGGUCAGGGACGAAGCCCUGGGUCGCGAACUGGAUUAGAUACCCAGGUAGUCCAGGGUGUAAACGCUGCAGACUUGGUGUCGGAGGUCCUACGGGGGCGUCCGGUGCCGGAGAGAAAUUGUUAAGUCUGCCGCUUGGGGAGUACGUCCGCAAGGAUGAAACUUAAAGGAAUUGGCGGGAGAGCACCGCAACGGGAGGAGCGUGCGGUUCAAUUGGAAUCAACGCCGGU